UGUCUGUAUAGUUUAACCAAAACACUAGACUGUGAACCUAGAAACAGAAAUAAUUCUUGCAGACC
RNAcentral lists this transfer RNA (65 nucleotides) under Proctoporus cf. bolivianus Ca1. Its description in RNAcentral is "tRNA-His". It matches the Rfam family "tRNA". From Rfam's summary of the family: Transfer RNA (tRNA) molecules are approximately 80 nucleotides in length. Their secondary structure includes four short double-helical elements and three loops (D, anti-codon, and T loops). Further hydrogen bonds mediate the characteristic L-shaped molecular structure. tRNAs have two regions of fundamental functional importance: the anti-codon, which is responsible for specific mRNA codon recognition, and the 3' end, to which the tRNAs corresponding amino acid is attached (by aminoacyl-tRNA synthetases). tRNAs cope with the degeneracy of the genetic code in two manners: having more than one tRNA (with a specific anti-codon) for a particular amino acid; and 'wobble' base-pairing, i.e. permitting non-standard base-pairing at the 3rd anti-codon position. Lineage: Eukaryota; Metazoa; Chordata; Lepidosauria; Squamata; Gymnophthalmidae. The record is from RNAcentral.